AUUGAACGCUGGCGGCAUGCCUUACACAUGCAAGUCGAACGGUAACAGGUCUUCGGAUGCUGCCGAGUGGCGCACGGGUGAGUAAUACAUCGGAACGUGCCCAGACGUGGGGGAUAACGAGGCGAAAGCUUUGCUAAUACCGCAUACGAUCUAAGGCUGAAAGCAGGGGACCGCAAGGCCUUGUGCGUUUGGAGCGGCCGAUGGCAGAUUAGGUAGUUGGUGGGAUAAAAGCUUACCAAGCCGACGAUCUGUAGCUGGUCUGAGAGGACGACCAGCCACACUGGGACUGAGACACGGCCCAGACUCCUACGGGAGGCAGCAGUGGGGAAUUUUGGACAAUGGGCGAAAGCCUGAUCCAGCAAUGCCGCGUGCAGGAUGAAGGCCUUCGGGUUGUAAACUGCUUUUGUACGGAACGAAAAGGAUCUGGCUAAUACCUGGGGCACAUGACGGUACCGUAAGAAUAAGCACCGGCUAACUACGUG
This 482-nucleotide ribosomal RNA is filed under the name uncultured bacterium. RNAcentral's name for it is "partial 16S ribosomal RNA". It matches the Rfam family "Bacterial small subunit ribosomal RNA", at positions 30 to 507 of the family's 1533-position model. The record is from RNAcentral.